CAAAGGCUUGGUCCUGACUUUAUUAUCAACUUUAGCCAAACUUACACAUGCAAGUAUCCGCACCCCUGUGAGAAUGCCCUAAUAGUUCCCCGCCCGGGAACAAGGAGCUGGUAUCAGGCACAACCCUAUUGAGCCCACGACACCUUGCUUAGCCACACCCUCAAGGGAGCUCAGCAGUGAUAAACAUUAAGCCAUAAGUGAAAACUUGACUUAGUUAAAGCUAAGAGGGCCGGUAAAACUCGUGCCAGCCACCGCGGUUAUACGAGAGGCCCAAGUUGACAAACACCGGCGUAAAGCGUGGUUAAGUUAAAAAUCCUACUAAAGCCAAACAUCUUCAAGACUGUUAUACGUAACCGAAGACAGGAAGUUCAACCACGAAAGUCGCUUUAUCUGAUCUGAAUCCACGAAAGCUAAGGAACAAACUGGGAUUAGAUACCCCACUAUGCCUAGCCCUAAACAUUGAUAGUACAAUACACCCACUAUCCGCCCGGGUACUACGAGCAAAAGCUUAAAACCCAAAGGACUUGGCGGUGCUUUAGAUCCACCUAGAGGAGCCUGUUCUAGAACCGAUAACCCCCGUUCAACCUCACCCUUCCUUGUUUUACCCGCCUAUAUACCGCCGUCGUCAGCUUACCCUGUGAGGGACUAAUAGUAAGCAGAACUGGUACAACCUAAAACGUCAGGUCGAGGUGUAGCGUAUGGAGGGGGAAGAAAUGGGCUACAUUCGCUACCACAGCGAACACGAAUGAUGCACUGAAAUACACAUCUGAAGGAGGAUUUAGCAGUAAGCUGGAAAUAGAGCGUCCCGCUGAAACUGGCCCUGAAGCGCGCACACACCGCCCGUCACUCUCCCCAAAAGCCCCAAUCAGUUAACUAAAACCUAAUAAUCAAAAAGGGGAGGCAAGUCGUAACAUGGUAAGUGUACCGGAAGGUGCACUUGGUAAAAU
Molecule: non-coding RNA, 947 nt
Filed under: Cottus perifretum
Lineage: Eukaryota; Metazoa; Chordata; Actinopteri; Perciformes; Cottidae
Description: 12S ribosomal RNA
Rfam family: Bacterial small subunit ribosomal RNA
Source: RNAcentral